GUGCUCACUUUGGCAACACUAUAUACUAAAAUUGGAAUGCUACAGAGAAGAUUAACAUGGCCCCUGCACAAGUAUAACAUGCAAAUUUGAGAAGUGUUCCAUAUUUAA
Marmota marmota marmota (Alpine marmot) is the source of this 108-nucleotide small nuclear RNA. The record is from Ensembl. NCBI's taxonomy places the organism in Eukaryota, Metazoa, Chordata, Mammalia, Rodentia, Sciuridae.